Long non-coding RNA from Rhineura floridana, 768 nucleotides. RefSeq lists it as uncharacterized. NCBI's taxonomy places the organism in Eukaryota, Metazoa, Chordata, Lepidosauria, Squamata, Rhineuridae. The transcript has 4 exons. The record is from RefSeq and is a predicted model, not a curated record.
AGGACUGUAAAUUCACAUUUGUUGCUUCGCCUGCUUUUGCCCACCACUGGCAAGUGGCCCCAGAAGACUUCCUAGAAGUAAUGCAGAAAGGACCUGCCGAAGGAAGAGACUGGCCAAGGCAGGAAGAUUCAAACUGAAGGCAUCAUUCAGAUCCAGUCAAGCAGGUCUAGUCAAAAUCUCUGCAAGCAGGUUGGACGUGCAAUUGUCCCCAUGCGCCACAACAGAUACAAAUGAGAACUCCUCCAACACCAGACCAACUCUUAAAUGACUAUCCUUCUCAGAAGCUAUUGGGUCUAUAUCUGGAGUUGAUGACAACUGGAGUCCAUCUCCCAUCAGCCCCAACCAGAGUGGCCAGUGGUCAAGAAUGAUGGCAAUGGGAGAUGAACAACAUCUGGUAGGCCAUCGGUUCUCCACACUGCCCUACAACCCAGUUAGCUUACCUGUGCAGUGCUUCUGUAAGCGCAGGAUCUCCAAGUGCAAAUCACGGAGGAGUUCCAUCUGCUCCUUCUUCAGGAAGGCAAUGUGUCUUUGCACGCUUUGGAUCUGGUGCUCCAGGGACAGGGUCUCCAUCGCAACACAGUCAACAGUCUGUGCCUAGAGGGAACAGAAGUGGAUCGAUGAGCUGCCUGCACUGCCAUAGGGACUUGGGGAAAGAGCGGCACUUCUGCCACUCGCUCUUUGCAUCCUAACCUUUUGCCAAAAAAAAAAAAAAUCCACAUCAUCCCACCAUCUCAAACUGGAGCCCAUUGGCUGCUGUGAUGAAAGACC